This 106-nucleotide transfer RNA is filed under the name Sistotremastrum niveocremeum HHB9708. It matches the Rfam family "tRNA". From Rfam's summary of the family: Transfer RNA (tRNA) molecules are approximately 80 nucleotides in length. Lineage: Eukaryota; Fungi; Basidiomycota; Agaricomycetes; Sistotremastrales; Sistotremastraceae. The record is from Rfam by way of RNAcentral.
GCCCGCCUAGCUCAAUCGGAUAGAGCGUCAGACUCUUAGGAGCGUUACGUCACGGUCACGUGCUUACGUAAUCUGAAGGCUGCGAGUUCGACCCUCGCGGUGGGCU